Hyaena hyaena (striped hyena) is the source of this 980-nucleotide long non-coding RNA. RefSeq lists it as uncharacterized. The transcript has 3 exons. The record is from RefSeq and is a predicted model, not a curated record. NCBI's taxonomy places the organism in Eukaryota, Metazoa, Chordata, Mammalia, Carnivora, Hyaenidae.
CUUUCAGUGCUUCUGCUCUUGAAACAUCAUGUGAAUAAUGUCAAACUAGCCUACAGGUGUGGGUAAAAGACUAGAUGGAAGAGAAUCAAGAUGCCCUGACUCGUAGCCUUGCCUGGACAGUCAGGCCACCGUAUAUCAUUCAACCACCAGCGAUUUACCAGCUGAACAUGAAUACAUGAGACAGCACAGCCCAUCACCCAGGAUGGGUCAGGUCAGAAGCACACAGUCAAUCAACAGAAUACUAAAGUAAAUGAAAGCUGCCGAGUCCCACCAUAGAAUGAGCCUCUUGAGGAAACUUCUGGUGCUGUGCUUUCCAUCAUCAAGCAGAAAAUGAAAGGUGUUCAUCUUUACAAAGCCACUUCUCAGCACCAAUUCUACUUCUGCCUCAGCAGGGCAGCCUCUCAUCAGCUGGAAGUCUGUCUCCUUUCAUAUUCUCUUGAGGAAAUCCAAUGCAUGACGCUGGUAUAAGCAAAGGAUAUAAGGAAUACGAGCAAACAGCUAUUAAUAAGUGUCAAAUAGAGUUUUCUCUGAAUUUAGUCACUGAAUUUAGACUCUAAUUUAGACUCAGUCAUAAGACUGAGCAUUGAUACUCUGGUUUUGAAAAUUAUCCCACCUUCCUUCUCUGGCCUCAGGCCAGAAUUAAUGGUCUGAAGAGAGCAAGAGCAUUAGGAAAGAACCCAGCUCCAGAAUGCUGGUGUUGGUCUCUACUUUUGCCAGCAGUGGGCCUACCACACCUGUUAUUAAAAGAGGUGCUGAGGCAGCAGGGCAAGCCGCAACAGAGACAACAUCAGCAGGAAAACCCCAAUUGUCAGGAAGAGCAUAUAAUUAUCUCUGCUUUCUAGAGCACAAUUUCUUAACCAUGGAUUGCUGAAAAAUAAACAUGCUGGGCUCCACUCUGUCCAAGGUACUGAUUUGGUAGGUCUGAGUGUUUAGGCAUCUAUAAUUUAUAAACACACAAACAAAUAAAUGUUUCACAUGAA